RNAcentral lists this ribosomal RNA (465 nucleotides) under Vreelandella stevensii. RNAcentral describes it as "partial 16S ribosomal RNA". It matches the Rfam family "Bacterial small subunit ribosomal RNA", at positions 338 to 795 of the family's 1533-position model. The record is from RNAcentral. Lineage: Bacteria; Pseudomonadati; Pseudomonadota; Gammaproteobacteria; Oceanospirillales; Halomonadaceae.
CCUACGGGAGGCUGCAGUGGGGAAUAUUGGACAAUGGGGGCAACCCUGAUCCAGCCAUGCCGCGUGUGUGAAGAAGGCCCUCGGGUUGUAAAGCACUUUCAGUGAGGAAGAACGCCUGGUGGUUAAUACCCAUCAGGAAAGACAUCACUCACAGAAGAAGCACCGGCUAACUCCGUGCCAGCAGCCGCGGUAAUACGGAGGGUGCGAGCGUUAAUCGGAAUUACUGGGCGUAAAGCGCGCGUAGGUGGCUUGAUAAGCCGGUUGUGAAAGCCCCGGGCUCAACCUGGGAACGGCAUCCGGAACUGUCAAGCUAGAGUGCAGGAGAGGAAGGUAGAAUUCCCGGGGUAGCGGUGAAAUGCGUAGAGAUCGGGAGGAAUACCAGUGGCGAAGGCGGCCUUCUGGACUGACACUGACACUGAGGUGCGAAAGCGUGGGUAGCAAACAGGAUUAGAUACCCGUGUAGUC